GCCGCGCCCGCCGUCCUCGCCGCGGUCUUCUCUUCAGGCGCCUACCGCGGCUGGCAAGUCCCUGCUGGCAGAGCAGCGGAGGUCCCCGAAUCAACUUUCAAUUCCCCCUCUGCUUCUGCCUCACCAUUCUCUUCUCCGCGAAAGAUGGCUGUUUGGAGAAGGGGGCGAAGUUAGGGGGUCCUCGGCGCGGGGCGAAGGAGGGCGCGACAGCCUCGGCGGGAGCGGACGGAGGUUUCCCCUUUCCCAGCCUCUCGUGGACCAGCGUUGCCAGCUGAAGGAAGGUUGUGAAUCUGCAUCCCAGCCCAUUAGUCCUUCUCCUGAUUCCCGUGAUGAGUUCACCAGUGCAGCCUGGUCAGUUUGGUUGUUUCUUAAGCUAUUAACAGAUGUAAUAUGAAAGAUGUUGCUUUGUGUUGCUUCAAACCAAGCAAUUUAACUUAUGAAAGGACUUUUUAUUCUGAUGAGGAUGUGUGGAUACAAUGAAUUUUGAAUUUUGUGUUCUAUAGCUAAUCCUUUGUUAUGUAACCAUCUUGCUUUCCAGGCAAUUAAUUUCAUUUGAAUUAUUAUCUGAGCACUGGGCUUUAGUUCUUCUGCUAAUGUAACAUUUGGAUUGAAUUUUAUGAAGUUAUAAAUAUUUAUUAAAUAUGUUGUAGGCAUCUAAUUCAUAUCCAUAGUCUUUCUGAGUCCGUGUCUGUAUGUUUUAAAUUGUGUCAUAGGCUUUGGAUAUCAGCUUGUGGACUCAUUUUCCUCCUCCUUCUCUUUGACACACAGGAAGGAUAUUUCUCCUCCCUGCCCUUCUUUGCUGCCACUCCUGUUUCCUACAUACAUGUUUAAUUAUAAUCUCAGCACCUGCUUCCUCUGAGUCCAGUGUAAUGUGUGGCUCAUGUAGUGUUGUGAUAAGCACAGCCAACACCCAUUUCUCCAGGAACAGGGUGUCACUUUGGGAACAAACACAAUCCAAGUCUUAAAAAUGAUGGAGUAGUUUCAGAUAUCAUAUGUUAAACAUAGAGAAAUUUAAAAAGAAUUUUCUGUUUGAAUCAUUGUAGGAGUAUUUAUUUCUAUAUAUUCUUUAAAAAAAAAUCUCUCAGCACGUUGGUAUCUUUGAGUUAUCCAACUCCUGAGGUUGAAGCUAAUGUAAUAUUUUAUUCAGAGUUUAUAAAGGGAAAUCUUUUGCCAAGAUUUUCAGUCUGUGGAGUGCCACACCCAGAUCAGCUGCUCUGGAAUUCCAAUGUCUCAUCAACCUUUCCCAGAGCCCCAACAGGCUGCCAGCUUGUAUGUUGAAUUUGGAACUGAAAGGUUUUGGCGCGUACAACUGUAAUUGUUGAUUCUAAAUGAUGUAGUAAAGAUAUUCCAGAAUCUUUCUUCACAAUCAUGAUUUAUAAUUGGCGUUGUCAUCUGAAUAAGCACAUGAAGAGUUACACAGGCCUCUUAUCUCUGAGUCCUUGCAGUGCAGUGUUUCUCCAACUUUAGCAUCACUGGGAGGGCUUGUUAAAAUCAAGCCCCAUUCUCAAAGUUUUUGAUUCAGUAGAUCUUAGGUGGGUCCCAGGAAUUGUGAUACUUAUAAGUUUCCCCCCGGUGAGGCUACUGCUGCCUGAGGACUACACUUUGGAAAGCACUGAUCUAGCUUGCUAGUCCCGUUCCUUCCUCCACCUCUGCUUGCCUCCAUCCUCUCCUCCCUCCACACCCCCACCCUUACAGGCAGCCCUCUGUGCAUUACUUAUCACAAUUAUGGUGUAUUAUUACUGUCCUUUCUAUUGAGUUGGACUUAAAAUGAUGUGUGUGUUUUAUAUAUGCAUAUAUUACAUUUAAAUAUACAUUAUAUAUUGAUUUGUAUAUAACUUUAAUGUUUCAAAAUUACAUAAUUUAAAAGAGGCAUUUAAUUUAGAACUACCAUAGUCAAACAUUUUUUUUUCUUGUGGUAGAAUAUGUUAGAGUCAUUAAAAACAUAUUACAAGCAAUUGGAACAAAUUGGCUAAGUAUGAAUGUGGCAGAAAAUUUCCUCCAUUUCUAAAGUUACUGUCUAAAAUUUAUAUAGGGGAUUGUCUUUAAUUGUAAAGGACAGAAACUAGACUUUUAUAAAAUUGUCCCUGUCCCUUUAUUCUCUGCCUUCCUCCCCCAUAUCCUGUCCACAUUGUUUACCUCCCAGUUUUACUUCACAGAAGAGUGGCAGGGCAGAUUGAACCAUGGGAAAAUGGAAUUUUUGACAGUGACAGCAACUGUAUCCAAGUGAAACAUUUGAAAUGGCAUUUCUAUGUAAUCAUUAAAUGGGUAAAAAGUGCAGAUACCCUUGAUGGUUGAAGGUUGAAGGAUGCAACUAUAUGGGGAAAUUUUGAAUCCAAAUUAUAAUAAUUAAACCCAAUUUAUCAUACUUAACUAACUUGUAAAUAGUGCAAGUACAGCAAUUUCAGUGUCUAUAUGGUCUUUUUUUAGCAUCUUUCUAGGAUGUAUGGACUUGGACCCGCUUAUUUUUUUCUUUCCUUUUUAAAUUUAAGUAUAAUUAAUGUAUAAUAAUAUUUAUUUUACAGGUUACAGUAUAAUGAGUCACAAUUUUUAAAGCUUAUACUCCAUUUAUAGUUAUUAUAAAACAUUGGCUAUAUUUUCUGUGCUGUAUAAUAUAUCCUUGUAGCUUAUUUUAUACGUAUUGGUUUGUACCUCUUAACCCCUUAACCCCAUAUUGCCCCUUCCCUCUUCCCUCUCCCCACUGGUAGCCAACUAGAUUGCUCUCUAUAUCCCUGAGUCUGUUUCUUUUUUGUUACAUUCACUAGUUUGUUGGGUUUUUUUUUAGAUUCCAUGUAUCUGUCUUUCUUUGCUUUGUUUCACUUAGCAUAAUACCCUUCCAGUCCAUUCAUCUGUUGCAUAUGGUAGAAUUUCACAAUGGACCCACUUAUUUUUAAUGCGAAACAUGUAAUACCAUUAGACACUAUCGUAAGUGGUUAGACUUCCAGUUUAACCCAUUGAACCCUACUUAAAGAUAACUACUUUGCAGUGAAUGAAUACAGAAAAAUUUUGACAGCCUUUGAAAAAGAGAAUCAAUACAAUGUAGUAAGGAAUAUUUAAAAAUUUUGCAUGUUUAGAGAAAAGUGGACCAAUUUGACAGGAAAACAAACAAGUGAGAAAAUUUGAUGGAGAUAGUUCAUGUGAACUAUGGGCACCUUAGAUCAUUUCUCAGAAGGAUCAGCAUUACUUCUAAUUUCAUUCUAAAAGUAAUGAUUUUGGGGAGGCCAGUGUUAGGGUGAUUUCACUAUUCCUUUUCUCAUCUUAUGUAUGGAACAGAGGGAGGAAAUGGGGUGGGUGUGUGUGUGUGUGUGUGUGUGUGUGUAAAAUACAUGGUCAGAAGUAACAUUUACUGAACUUUGUGAGAUAAAGAAGAAAAGGAAAACAGAAGAGUGCAUGCAUCUAACGCUUAAGGGAGAAGAAGGAAACAUGAUUAAAGAGGAUUUGAGGUUAAAUAGAAAUCUUCUUGUCCAUGCAGUGUAUGUUGUUGGUUAUGUAGAAAGUGGCUGUGAAGUCAUGCUUCAAGGCGCAUGUGAAGACAGAGAUGUAUAUGUAUAGCUGUGUGUGUAUGUAUAGCUCAGCUUCUUAUGCUCAGGAUGAUAACAAUUUAUAGCAUUAUUUUAAAAUACAGAGUUCCUGUAUGUAAAUGGAAUACUUAAGAUGGUCAGAUACAUUGGACUUCUUUUCAAAAACACAAAGUGAAGUAAUACCAAAGACUUUGAUUAAUUCCACAUAUACCUGACACUGGCUCACAACUAGUAAUAUUUGACGGUUGCAAUCAGCAUACACUGACCCUGAGAAUGUUGAUUUUAUAAUUUGAAAAUGUCCUUUGAGGCUGCUAUUUUGAUGAGGAAGUUCUUGCUGGCCAUGAUACUUGUUCAGCUAGAAGAGGGAGUGAGAAAUGAGACAGCCACAAAGUGAAGCUCAUUUGACUUUUGAGUCAUUAAAAUUUCGUUAUGUACUUUCUUUCCUAUGCAUGAUUCUAGUCUGGUCUGUUGAGAACAGCAUUUUACAGAGGGUUUUUUUUUUUUUUUUUUGGUCUUUUUGUCUUUUAGGGCUGCAGUCACAGCAUAUGGAGGUUUCCAGGCUAGGGGCAAUUGGAACUGUAGCCAACAGUCUACUCCAGAGCCAUAGCAACACUGGAUCCAAGCAGCAUCUGCGACCUACACCACAUCUCAUGGCAACGCUGGAGGCCAAGGAUCGAACCCACGUCCUCAUGGAUGCUAGUCAGGUUUGCUAACUGCUGAGCCAUGACAGGAACUCCUACAGCGGUCUUAAUCAAUUGUGUUUGGGAAGUUUUUAUGAAUGAAGUCUGAACUGAAGAAAGUCAUAGCAAAUAGAUCAGGUGGGUAGGAAUCCUAUAUUUAUUGUAAGUACAAUCUAUGAUUAGAGACCUGAAAUGCAUUCUGCAUAUAAAAAGGAAAACGUUCUGGCCACAGGCAUUAAAACAUUCUUCUGCUACUAUUAGUGUGUAUCUUAUGAUGCCAUGUAUUUUCUACCGGUAAGAAAUAACCUAAUUGUUUGACUUAAAAAAAGGAUUUUUCUUACAUCUCCUUUUAAAAAAAAACUACGUAAAGGGAAUUAAAUCGACCUUGUGCAAUAAUCAUCCAUUUAUUUUGCUUUUGUUCCACGAGGGGCUCUAAAGAGUUAUUAUGCACCAGAAAAAGUAGACUUAACGUCGAUUGCUCCAGAAAUUCUUUAUAGUCAAUGUUUGAAAUAGAGUGGGUUUUUUGUUUUUUUUUUGAAACUUUUCUCUGGGAUAGUGUGAAGUCUUAUUUUCCCCAUGCAUUGAUCCCAUUCUCAUGAGAAUUUUAUCUCAAUAUUCAGCUAUAGUUGAUAUCAAGUACUAAAUAUUACUGUCUUGAUCAUGUGUUCAAUCAAACAAGAAGUACUGAUCUUUGAAUAUAGAAUUCACUGGUUUUUAUUUUGAUCUUGCUGCCCCAAGAAGGAUCUAAGUUAGAGUACUAGGUAUUGCUUUUGGACCCUGAGGAGCCUGAAUGGAGAGAAGACUAUAUGAAUAAGACUGGCAGCCAGCUGCUGCAAUUGAGAGUCAUUUAUUUAUUAUUUUAUUUUUUAAAUUACUCAACGAAUUUAUUACAUUUAUGGUUGUACAAUGAUCAUCACAAUCCAAUUUUGUAGGAUUUCCAUCCCACACCCCAGAGUCAUUCAUUUAAAUCUUAUUAAGCAUACAUUCUGUGUUAGGCAGUGGGGACACAAAGAGUACUAAAAACGUUUCCACCCUUUAUCAACAGUAUCAUUUAGUGGGGGAGACAGAGUAAAGAGUUUUGGCCCAUUCACUGUGUUAAGUGUUUUAAUAAAUAGGGGAACAGAAGUUAAUUUCUUCUGUACAGCAUAUAGGUGCCAUUUAGUUAAUUUUUAUCAGGAUUGCUAGGUGGCAGAAGAAACGGCUUUUAAGGCUCAUCUAAGCUAGAGUUUUCCUAACAUAUCAGAUAAUAAAAAUUAUGUGAUGUUCUUGUUAAGAAUACAGAUUCUAAGACCUCCCCCAUUCUCUCUGCCCUCCCCCCAAAGACUUAAUGCAGUAGAUCUGGAGGGGAUAUUAAAUAACAUAUUGCAUGUUGCUCUCCACUGUGACUUUUCAAAAGUCUAGAAGUGUUCUUUAAUUUGUCUGAUAAAUACUAGUGUUCCUCAUUGAGACUCUGGAAAAAUAAAAAAGUACAUCAUUAAAUUCUAUCUCAAUAUAGGUAUUUCUCCUGUGAGCUAAGCUGUAACUCAGGUAUCUUGCUUUCUGAUAAACAAAAAGAUAGUGCUGUUGAAAACUAGAGGAGGUAAUACUUUUCAGGAAAAUUGUAGGGCUUUAUGUGUAUUCUCUGCUAAUAAACCAUCAUGAUUUUAUGUGGAUUCGAACCAAAGAGAUUCUUAAUAAAUAGAGUACAUUUUUUUUCCUUAGAACAAAUUUCUAACUAAUUUAACCCAGGUCAUAUUUGUAGUAUGGUCCCAAAAUUAUAGAAAACAUGAUUUGUGCCUGGAUGUUUUUAAGAGUAAAUGAAUUAGGCUGCAUCAACCCUAGAAUGAUUCCAGUAUGACUUUUAAUUUUGAUGAAUCUAAUUUAUGUAAUUUAAUUUUGAUGAAUAGGCAACCAAAGGAAUUUUACAAACAUAGAGCACAGUGGAUGUGAUGCCCCCUGAAAUUACAUAAGGUUCUGGCCUUGUGGACUCUUCACUGAGUUUGAAUGGUAGAGUUACGAUAGCUGUAUGGCCAAGUCCUAUAACAUUAGUUUU
This 6230-nucleotide long non-coding RNA is filed under the name Sus scrofa (pig). RNAcentral describes it as "lncRNA (ENSSSCG00050008654.1)". Lineage: Eukaryota; Metazoa; Chordata; Mammalia; Artiodactyla; Suidae. The record is from RNAcentral.